GAUGAAGAACGCAGCGAAAUGCGAUAAGUAAUGUGAAUUGCAGAAUUCAGUGAAUCAUCGAAUCUUUGAACGCACAUUGCGCCCGCCAGCACUCUGGCGGGCAUGCCUGUCCGAGCGUCAUUUCAACCCUCAGGCCCCCCGGGGACUGGUGUUGGGGAUCGGCCCGCCCUGGCGCGGCGCCGUCCCCGAAAUACAGUGGCGGUCUCGCUGCAGCCUCCCCUGCGUAGUAGCACACCUCGCAUUGGAGAGCGGCGCGGCCACGCCGUGAAACCCCAACUUCUGAUAGUUGACCUCGGAUCAGGUAGGAAUACCCGCUGAACUUAAGCAUAUCAAUAACGGAGGA
Molecule: unclassified non-coding RNA, 343 nt
Filed under: soil metagenome
Description: partial contains 5.8S ribosomal RNA, internal transcribed spacer 2, and large subunit ribosomal RNA
Rfam family: 5.8S ribosomal RNA (bases 1-120)
Source: RNAcentral